Molecule: ribosomal RNA, 551 nt
Filed under: uncultured Acinetobacter sp.
Lineage: Bacteria; Pseudomonadati; Pseudomonadota; Gammaproteobacteria; Moraxellales; Moraxellaceae
Description: bacterial SSU rRNA
Rfam family: Bacterial small subunit ribosomal RNA
Source: RNAcentral
UGGGGAAUAUUGGACAAUGGGCGCAAGCCUGAUCCAGCCAUGCCGCGUGUGUGAAGAAGGCCUUAUGGUUGUAAAGCACUUUAAGCGAGGAGGAGGCUACUUUAGUUAAUACCUAGAGAUAGUGGACGUUACUCGCAGAAUAAGCACCGGCUAACUCUGUGCCAGCAGCCGCGGUAAUACAGAGGGUGCAAGCGUUAAUCGGAUUUACUGGGCGUAAAGCGCGCGUAGGCGGCUAAUUAAGUCAAAUGUGAAAUCCCCGAGCUUAACUUGGGAAUUGCAUUCGAUACUGGUUAGCUAGAGUGUGGGAGAGGAUGGUAGAAUUCCAGGUGUAGCGGUGAAAUGCGUAGAGAUCUGGAGGAAUACCGAUGGCGAAGGCAGCCAUCUGGCCUAACACUGACGCUGAGGUGCGAAAGCAUGGGGAGCAAACAGGAUUAGAUACCCUGGUAGUCCAUGCCGUAAACGAUGUCUACUAGCCGUUGGGGCCUUUGAGGCUUUAGUGGCGCAGCUAACGCGAUAAGUAGACCGCCUGGGGAGUACGGUCGCAAGACUAA